RNAcentral lists this ribosomal RNA (922 nucleotides) under Bacillus sp. (in: firmicutes). RNAcentral's name for it is "bacterial SSU rRNA". It matches the Rfam family "Bacterial small subunit ribosomal RNA", at positions 1 to 885 of the family's 1533-position model. The record is from RNAcentral. Lineage: Bacteria; Bacillati; Bacillota; Bacilli; Caryophanales; Bacillaceae.
AGAAAAGAACGAAAAAACCCUUUUUAGUUUUUUUUUCUCUGCUCAGGACGAACGCUGGCGGCGUGCCUAAUACAUGCAAGUCGAGCGGACAGAUGGGAGCUUGCUCCCUGAUGUUAGCGGCGGACGGGUGAGUAACACGUGGGUAACCUGCCUGUAAGACUGGGAUAACUCCGGGAAACCGGGGCUAAUACCGGAUGCUUGUUUGAACCGCAUGGUUCAAACAUAAAAGGUGGCUUCGGCUACCACUUACAGAUGGACCCGCGGCGCAUUAGCUAGUUGGUGAGGUAAUGGCUCACCAAGGCAACGAUGCGUAGCCGACCUGAGAGGGUGAUCGGCCACACUGGGACUGAGACACGGCCCAGACUCCUACGGGAGGCAGCAGUAGGGAAUCUUCCGCAAUGGACGAAAGUCUGACGGAGCAACGCCGCGUGAGUGAUGAAGGUUUUCGGAUCGUAAAGCUCUGUUGUUAGGGAAGAACAAGUACCGUUCGAAUAGGGCGGUACCUUGACGGUACCUAACCAGAAAGCCACGGCUAACUACGUGCCAGCAGCCGCGGUAAUACGUAGGUGGCAAGCGUUGUCCGGAAUUAUUGGGCGUAAAGGGCUCGCAGGCGGUUUCUUAAGUCUGAUGUGAAAGCCCCCGGCUCAACCGGGGAGGGUCAUUGGAAACUGGGGAACUUGAGUGCAGAAGAGGAGAGUGGAAUUCCACGUGUAGCGGUGAAAUGCGUAGAGAUGUGGAGGAACACCAGUGGCGAAGGCGACUCUCUGGUCUGUAACUGACGCUGAGGAGCGAAAGCGUGGGGAGCGAACAGGAUUAGAUACCCUGGUAGUCCACGCCGUAAACGAUGAGUGCUAAGUGUUAGGGGGUUUCCGCCCCUUAGUGCUGCAGCUAACGCAUUAAGCACUCCGCCUGGAGACUAGGU